CUCGGCCUCGGGGUGCUCGUCCGGCUCCUCGGCCACGCUGCCGAAGCUGCUGGCGCUGGAGGACGAGCGGGAGAAGUCCCGCGGAGGCUCCGGCCUCUCCGCCCUGCCAAGGGACACACCUGGCCCCCUGUCACCCUGGCCCCAAGCCACCCCGCCCCGGUGUCACCCCAUCCCCGGGCCACCCUGUCCCCACAUUGUCACCGCACCACCCUGUCCCCAUGCCACCCAGCCCUGGGCCACCCAAGCGCCACGCUGUCCCCACCCCAUCAUGUCCCCAACCUUGUCCUCGUGCCACCCUGUCCCCGUGACAUCCCGUCCCCGUGCCACCCCAUCCGUGUGCCACCUUGUCCCCGUGCUGCCACAUCCCUGUGCCACCGGCCGCUGCUGUGACCCUGUCCCUGUGCCACCCCAUCCAUGUGCAUCCAUGAUGACCCUGUGUCCCUAUGUUCCUGUGUCCCCAUGUCCCUGUAACCCUGUGUCCCCAUAACUCUGUCCCCAUGUCCCCAUGUCCCUGUGUCCCCAUGUCCAUGUGUCCCCGUGUCCCCAUGUCCCAACAUCUCCAUGUCCCGUGUCCCCUGUCCCCGUGUCCCCUCUCCCGGCGCCCCGCACGGGACCUGUCCGGGUGCCGGCGGCUCUCUGGGGAGCUGUGCGCGGAGCCGGCGCCGUCGGUGUUGGCGGCGGGGCCGUCCCUAGGGGACAGCGGCGGGCGGUGAGGGGACACCGGGGCCGGGGGCAGCCCCGCGCCCGCUCCCGGCGCGCACCUGCCGGGCGGCGCCUCCUGGAUGCUCUCGAUGCCGAUGGCGCUGGAGCGGCGGGAGCCGAGCGGGCCGGGCCGCCGCCGGGACGGGCUCUUCCCGGGCACCAGCAGCGCCUGCGGGAGCGCGGUCAGC
Molecule: long non-coding RNA, 890 nt
Filed under: Anas platyrhynchos platyrhynchos (common mallard)
Lineage: Eukaryota; Metazoa; Chordata; Aves; Anseriformes; Anatidae
Description: lncRNA (ENSAPLG00000018437.1)
Source: RNAcentral